Molecule: ribosomal RNA, 429 nt
Filed under: Acidobacteriota bacterium
Lineage: Bacteria; Pseudomonadati; Acidobacteriota
Description: Acidobacteria bacterium partial 16S ribosomal RNA
Rfam family: Bacterial small subunit ribosomal RNA
Source: RNAcentral
UGGGGAAUUUUGGACAAUGGGGGAAACCCUGAUCCAGCCAUCCCGCGUGUGCGAUGAAGGCCUUCGGGUUGUAAAGCACUUUUGGCAGGAAAGAAACGUCAUGGGUUAAUACCCCGUGAAACUGACGGUACCUGCAGAAUAAGCACCGGCUAACUACGUGCCAGCAGCCGCGGUAAUACGUAGGGUGCAAGCGUUAAUCGGAAUUACUGGGCGUAAAGCGUGCGCAGGCGGUUCGGAAAGAAAGAUGUGAAAUCCCAGAGCUCAACUGUCGAACCGGAUGUUAAACUAUCGGGCUAGAGGGUGGCGGAGGGAGGUGGAAUUCCGCGUGUAGCGGUGAAAUGCGUAGAUAUGCGAAGGAACCCCGAUGGCGAAGGUAGCCUCCUGGGAUAACACUGACGCUCAUGCACGAAAGCGUGGGGAGCAAACAGG